RNAcentral lists this ribosomal RNA (253 nucleotides) under uncultured bacterium. RNAcentral describes it as "partial 16S ribosomal RNA". It matches the Rfam family "Bacterial small subunit ribosomal RNA", at positions 524 to 776 of the family's 1533-position model. The record is from RNAcentral.
UACGAGAGGCGCAAACGUUAUUCGGAAUUACUGGGCUCAAAGAGUUCGUAGGCGGCGCAGAAAGUAGGGUGUGAAAGCCCUCGGCUCAACCGAGGAAUUGCGCUCUAAACUACUGUGCUUGAGGGACCUAGAGGUGAGCGGAACUGAUGGUGGAGCGGUGAAAUGCGUUGAUAUCAUCAGGAAGACCAGUGGCGAAGGCGGGUCUCUGGACAGUUCCUGACACUGAGGCACGAAGGCCAGGGGAGCAAACGGG